UAACGCGAAAGAACCUUACCAGGCCUUGACAUCCAAUGAACUUUCGAGAGAUAGAUUGGUGCCUUCGGGAACAUUGACACAGGUGCUGCAUGGCUGUCCUCAGCUCGUGUCGUGAGAUGUUGGGUUAAGUCCCGUAACGAGCGCAACCCUUGUCCUUAGUUACCAGCACGUAAUGGUGGGCACUCUAAGGAGACUGCCGGUGACAAACCGGAGGAAGGUGGGGAUGACGUCAAGUCAUCAUGGCCCUUACGGCCUGGGCUACACACGUGCUACAAUGGUCGGUACAGAGGGUGCCAAGCCGCGAGGUGGAGCUAAUCCCAAAAACCGAUCGUAGUCCGGAUCGCAGUCUGCAAUUGACUCCGGAAGUCGGAAUCGCUAGUAAUCGCGAAUCAGAAUGUCGCGGUGAAUACGUUCCCGGGUCUUGUACACACCGA
RNAcentral lists this ribosomal RNA (434 nucleotides) under uncultured bacterium. Its description in RNAcentral is "bacterial SSU rRNA". It matches the Rfam family "Bacterial small subunit ribosomal RNA", at positions 957 to 1393 of the family's 1533-position model. The record is from RNAcentral.